AGACCGACGCCCUCCUGAAGGGUGAAAUGCCAGUGGGACACAGGUCCAUUUUAUUCUCUGCCAGGAAACAAAAUGGAGGUUGCAGGGGCAGGCGCUUGUUACCAAUCUUAAGCGACUUUGCUCCUAGGAUACGUAAUUGCGGGUGCGACGCUUUCCGCGAGCGUAGCCCUGGGAUUUGGUGAGCCCUCCCUGUCCAGAAUGUGCUCCAGGACUCACAAGCAGCUAAGUGAUGCGAAGGUCCCUACAGCUAGCUACUCGGAUGUGGAAGCCUUUACCUGUGUCGGGUCUGAAAGAAACUCCACUCCCCCAAAUCCUGGCACCCGUUUCCUUCUACCAAAGGUAUGGUUGAGGGGAAGGUUUUUAUUGUAGAUAUGAGGGAGAAUAGAGCCAGAGGCAUCUAGAAUAGUCCAGAACAGAGAGAGAUAGUAGUAAAUUAAACAUGGCCAGCAGACUGGACCAGGCCUGAGAGGAGCCAGGUGGGAGGAGGGAGGUGAGAGGAAGACAGAGAGAGUCAGGGGUCGAGUGGGGGGAUUAAGAGAGAGAGGGCCCUGAGAGGAAGACAAAAGAGAGGGAGCAUAGCCGGAAUGGCAGUGUUACAGGGACCGAGAAGGGGAGGGAGGGAAGCCUAUGAGCAUAAGUUAUGCGUGUGGGGCGUGGUGAAAAGACCCACUGGUAGCUGGGAUACUGAGGAAGUCUGGAGGCCAGCGCUUUAGUAUGCUAACAUCCACCAAAGGUAGCCAUUUGUCCUGAGUUCCUUUUAAACCUUAAAUCAAGCAAUUGCUAAGAACCACUGAGGCACACCAGUAGAUCUUAUUUUUCUGAAUGGUCACAUUGUGAAAGGUUUAUGCUUACACCCACAGACCUGGGGCUUCUCUCAAACCGGGUCAGAGAAACUCCUUUCUGCAGCAUGCAGAGACACAGAACUGGUCAAAGUGCUGUGAAGAACAGAUUGAGUGCUCGGCUUUAAAUGGGACAUCUUAAUAACCACUAACCUUCCCCAUGCCCGCUAAGGCUCAGGGAACUUUGAGGAGCAGGCAGCAGAGAGAUGGUGAGAGCUGGAGAAUGGGAAGGAGUGGUGUGAAGUGCUCUCUCUGGACAUGACAUGGCCAUUGCGCUCACCAUGAACUCACAGCAGCUGUAGUUCCCUGACUAAGACCUACAGGAGAUCAAGGUGACUAAAACCCCUCAGACAGGGUAGAUGAUCUCCAAGUCUCACCCUACACCAAGGAGCUUUUGGUAGUUGAUAGCUGCUGGGGAAGAGAGAAUCAUUCGAGGGUGUGGACAACUGAGUUCCCAUGCUUCAGUGGAUGCCUCCUGCCCCCUGCCACCCCACAUGCACAUAUGAGCAGUAUUAAUUGGAUUUAAUGAGUUAUCAAGUUAAAAAAAAAGAAUAAACAAAAAAGAAAAAGAAGUCAUGAAGUUAGGAGUUAGUCAAGUGUUUGGGGAUACAGAGGGUUGGAGGGUGACGUGGGAAUAAAAAUGAUUUUAUUUCAUUGUAUGUAUGCAUGAAAUCUUCAAAGAAUAAAAAAAAUCAACACAUGAGGCUGGAGAGGUGGCUCAGCGGUUAAGAGCACUGACUGCCCUUCCAGAGGUCCUGAGUUCAAUUCCCAGCAACCACAUGGUGGCUCACAACCAUCUGUAAUGAGAUCUGGUGCCCUCUUCUGGCGGGCAGGGGUACAUGCAGGCAGAACACUGUAUACAUAAUAAAUGAGUAAGUCUAAAAAAAUGAACACAUAAUAGAGAAAAUUAGAUUUUUUUUUAAUUGGGGGGGACAUUUCAAAACAGGGUCUCACUAUGUAGCCCUGGCUGUCCUGGAACUUAGUAGGUAGACCAGGCUGGCCUUGAACUCACAGAGAUCCACCUGCCUCUGCUUCCCUAAUGCUGGGACUAAAGGCAUGUGCCACUAUGUGACUGAGAAAAACGAAUUUUUUUUUUUCCAAGGCAGGGUUUCUCUGUGUAACAGCCAUGGCUGUCCUGGAACUCACUCUGUAGACCAGGCUGGCCUCAAACUCAGAGAUCUGCCUGCCUCUGCCUCCUGAGUGCUGGGAUUAAAGGUGUGUGCCACCAUGCCCAGCCCUUACUCUGGAUUAUUAAACCUGAAAUGAUCUUCCUAGAACACAGAUCAAAAUCUGCCUAGAUUCUGUGUGAAGACUGUGUACCCCUAGGGAAAAAAAAAAUUGCUUAGUGUGGCAUUCCCAGACUAUGACUCACUGUAACCUCACUCUAACCUUCCCUCUGCCUAUCCCCCUGACUCUGGAGAACCUCUUCCGGGCUCCUGAGCCCAGUGCUCUCUCCAGUCACUUUAUACAUGUAGAUUCUUCUGGAAGCUUCCUUCAUUCUGACAAACUCCUACUCCACCAGUAAGCCUUCCCCAGGCUUGUGUAGCCUGUCCCUGUGCAGUACUCUUGGUCACACUGAUGUCACUUCAGAGUUCCUCAGGUCAAGGGACCUCCCUGGCAUCAAACCAAUGUCUUCCUUGAGGCAGAAGAGCCAGGGCGCCCAAUACUUUGCAUCUCCUGUGGCCAGCUUUUUUCCAGGAGGUGGGGCAGUAUCCCAACAUGACACCUCCCUGUGGGUCCUCUAGGGAGGAGGCUGGGGCAGUCACAUGAGCUCUGGAGGUGGAGAGGCCCAUCCCAAGCCCCAGCCUUUGACAUCUGCGUCAGGCAAGCUCCUUGCCUCUGUAUGCUCGGCCUUGUACAGAUGUGUACAGAAAUAAGUAGCACCUAGCUCUUAGGUAGUAAUGAUGGCCAUUCUUGGUUGCCAACUUGACCACAUCUGGAAUUAACUAAAAUCCAAGCUAGUGGGAAUUCUUGUGAAAGUUUGUCUUAAUCGGAUUAUUUGAAGCAGGAGGACCCACCCUAAAUCUGGGCCACACCUUCUGUUGGCAGCCUACAUAAAAGGACAUGGAAGAAGGACGCUUUGCUUUUGCCUGCUUGCCCUCACUCUAGCUGGCAAAUGUAUCCAUCCUGCUAUGGAGGCAUGCAUUCCUUCACUGAUAUUAGAACCUACUUCUUUGGAAUUCCAACAUAGACUGAAGGCCAGCUAAGAUAUCCAGCUUUGUGUAUUGAACAACUAUUAGAUUCUUAGGAGACAGCCAUUGUUGGACUAGCUGGACCACAGCCUGUAAGCCACUCUAAUAAAUCCCUGUUUAAUAUAUAUAGAUUCAUCCUAUCAGUUCUGUUCCUCUAGAGAACCCUAACACAGGUAGAGAAGUAGUGAUUGUUCUCUGAAUGAUGGGCAUUACUCCCACACCCACACUGGCGAGGUAUGCUUAUGUCCUGGCACAAUUUAUCCACAUUCCCAGUAGCAAGGUAGGAAUGUUAGCUGGAGCCAGUGCAUAGAGCAGGCAAAGAAAACAUAGAGGCAGACUGUCAUCUGCUUCACCCCUGGCCCACCAGAAUUCAAUGCUCUUCCAUUCCCCAGGAAUGGGAAAGACUUGGGAGCAAGGAAGGGAGGCUGCAGAUGUGGGGUGCACCAGCUCCUGUCAGGGGUGCCCACCAGCCCAACGGUGAUGACAUCACACAACGGUGAUGACAGCAGCCACAGGGGAGUAGGGAGCAGAGAGCUUCUUGGCCUUUCUUCCGCUGGUUCUACAUCCCCAGUACAGGUGCACAGGACCCUCACCUUUUCAAGUUCUUCUACACGCCAGGUAAAUGCAGAGCUGGGGGCUUUGCUGUCACAUCCCCAAGAGGCAUGAGUAAUUGCCCACGUUACAUGUAAAGCCAAGAUGAGAAGACAGGAGCUCACGGGCAGCACCUCCUCUGUCUCCACAGAUACUGUAAGCCAGGCAGGCUUGUCUCUCACUGCUCGGUGAGGCUCCGUUCCUGGGCAGCCUCAAUUUAGAGUCACAAGGACCCUAAGUUAGACUUUGGAACCUGAAGCUUCACCCCGUCUCAGGCCACACCUCUCAACUUAAAUUCAGGCUGUAGAGGACACAGUCCUCCCAGCUGCACACAGCGGGCCUGAAAUCAUCCUGAGUCUUUGGAACCAAAGCUCUGGAUUCUACCCUCUCAACUCUGGAAUUCAGCCCCUUCCUUCCACCGCACUUUGGGUGUCCCAGUGCUAAACCAAGCACCCCAACUACACCAACUACACCUAACUAUACCCUUCUAGCUCCUGCUCCUAGUGUGAGGCAAACCUGGCUAGAGGACUGCAUUGUGAACCCCUCAUUUCCUGCUCGUACUGGUGCUGGUGUGAGAGCUAACAUUAUGUUUUAAGUCUAAAUUACUGUGCUUAAGAGAUCUAUAAAACAGAAAUGCCUCUAACCUGUAAGCCCCACUUGCCCAAGGACAGAUAACUUCCUGGAAUGUUGUUCAUGCAAGAUAGCAAGUCACACAUUAUCACUUCAGUAAACAAGGCUGGUUGCCCCAAAUGCACAGGAUGUGCUUGAUCACAGGCAGGCAGGAGGCACAUGUGUGCUUGCCCCUGACUGGACUAAGGUGGGGGUGCACAGCCUCGGGGGUUUGUCUUUACAAGCAAAAAAUGUAAUUCUGUGCCAUACUCUGUGCAUCCUGGGUAUGGACCUGGCCAGUGUCCAUUGUCCUGGCCAAUAUUUAGUAAAGCUUGCCUUAAAUUUGGCUCAAAACUUA
Molecule: long non-coding RNA, 4589 nt
Organism: Peromyscus californicus insignis
Lineage: Eukaryota; Metazoa; Chordata; Mammalia; Rodentia; Cricetidae
Exons: 2
Source: RefSeq, a predicted model, not a curated record